AAGCAUAGCUCAGUUGGGAGAGCAUCUGCCUUACAAGCAGAGGGUCAUAGGUUCGAGCCCUAUUGUUUCC
RNAcentral lists this transfer RNA (70 nucleotides) under human gut metagenome. It matches the Rfam family "tRNA". From Rfam's summary of the family: Transfer RNA (tRNA) molecules are approximately 80 nucleotides in length. Their secondary structure includes four short double-helical elements and three loops (D, anti-codon, and T loops). The record is from RNAcentral.